ACUGCUCAGUAACACGUGGACAACCUACCCUUGGGUCUGGCAUAAUCCUGGGAAACUGGGGAUAAUUCCGGAUAGGCCACAGAUGCUGGAAUGCGCUGUGGCCGAAAGCUCCGGCGCCCAAGGAUGGGUCUGCGGCCUAUCAGGGUUGUAGUGGGUGUAAUGUACCUACUAGCCUACGACGGGUACGGGUUGUGAGAGCAAGAGCCCGGAGAUGGAUUCUGAGACACGAAUCCAGGCCCUACGGGGUGCAGCAGGCGCGAAAACUUUACAAUGCGGGAAACCGUGAUAAGGGAAUCUCGAGUGCCAGCAUAUAAUGUUGGCUGUCCAGAUGCCUAAAAAGCAUCUGUUAGCAAGGGCCGGGCAAGACCGGUGCCAGCAGCCGCGGUAAUACGAU
This 394-nucleotide ribosomal RNA is filed under the name uncultured archaeon. Its description in RNAcentral is "bacterial SSU rRNA". It matches the Rfam family "Archaeal small subunit ribosomal RNA", at positions 85 to 480 of the family's 1478-position model. The record is from RNAcentral.